GGGUUGUCAACACCAGUCUGGAUGACGUCAUCCACAGUGAAGCCACUGGGGGUAGACUUUCCCCUCAGCUUUCCAUAGAUAUCCUUGGUCAGCACCUACAGCAGAUGACACACGGUGCAGAUGGAGGUCAGAAGUUGCUUGUGUCUGUCAGUGGAGGUGCAGUAGAUGGAUGACACCUGGUGCACCGAAAGGUCAAAGUCUGCAUGCCUCACAGAUGGCUCCACAAGUUCCAUGACUAAAUCAAGCGCUCCUAAACUAUUCAAAGACAAGACACACCUCAAGUCUGUUCUGCUGGGGUCAGCAACAGCUGACAGAUAGUCACAACUGUUGGAGUGACACUACUGGAGUGAUACUUAGCUACGCCUUAAUCAGCAGAAUGUUGCUACCCACGUCCACGAGUCAAGACAUUCACGGAAAAAACUGCAUUUCAGGUUGAAGUGUGCAUCAGCAGUAGAGUGAUUUUAGAUGGUAGAUUUUAGUAGUUUCCUUGUCAGGAAAAGUGUGCAAAGCUUCAGAGGAAUCCAUAAAAAAUGCAAGAAGCAAAUUCAAUUGGUUCAGUUUUCCUGGCUCAGAGUUCACCAGUGGAGUGGAAUCUGUCAGAUUUUUGGUUUCCCUCAUAAGGCAAUUUUGUUUUCAUGAUGUUUGUUCAGGGAGAGGUAUUAUUCCAUAGUUAAAUGUAAAAAUCACCACAAUAUUUCCCACGGAGCUAGCAAAAAGACUAACGAAAGCAUUGAGUUGCCUUUUACCUGCUUAGGAGAAAAGAAAGAGGUAACAGAUCCCGGGAUCAGAUCCUGUCCACCAAAUGUAGGGGUUGCCCAACUCUGCCAGGUGAUGGGCUUAAGCAUUUAUACCCAGACCUCGGUCCCUAUUGGCUGACCGGGCCUGGGGUCCCCUCACUCGAUUGGUCGCACGGAGUCUUCUGUGCCGAGUUGAGUUUCUAAAAGGAAAGAACGAACAUCACACAGCACUCGAGAUGAGAGACAAGGCAACAGCUGCAGUCACCCAGUCCAACCUUUCACCUUCUGCCUGCUGGUAGCUGCUUUAUAGCAGCGUGCCGGAAAGAACACUGCAGAAAACGCAUGCAUCCUUUGUUACAUUAGAUGCAUGCAAAGUAAGUCAUAACUGUUGCAUCUACUCUCAGAGGUGCGUCGCUUUGGAUAAAAGUGUCUGGUAAAUGAAGUUUAGAAGUGUAAAGUAAUUGCAUUAUAGUGGAAUUAGAGUCACAUGUGGGCCUUAGUCAGUGUUUUAACCUUUACCAGUGUAAGAGGAAAAGUAGAUCAAGAGUGCAAAUCUCAAAAUCACGUCAUGCAAAAAGUAGCCAUGAUGCACAUUUAAUAUUGACAGUAAAAUAAAAUAAAAUAAUUUAGAUUUUAUUGUAUUUGAAUUACAUGAACCCCAUGCCUUCAUUUACUGUUUAUGAUAUAACAAACAUUUACUCGAAGCAGUACAAAAAAUAAUAUUAAUCAAACAACAAAUGUAACCCCUACCUCCACCCCAGCCUACAAAGUAAGUAAAAAACUAUAAAAAGCACAUAAAAAAUGAGGAGAAAAGGUAUUUGAAUUUAAUUAUACUUCAGUAUACAACAUGUUAAAGUGCAGUAUUUGUUGUAGCAGGAAUCUGAUGUAGUUUUCAUGCAGCAUUGUGAUAGUAAUCUGUGUUAUGUUGGUCAGAGAUCAGUCUUUUAAGCUGAUUUCACCUGGACGGCUGUGAUAUUACUGUAUCGUGCAUAUGCAUCCUUGUUUCAUAAGUGUUCCCUGUGAAUCAGUGAUGCAGAGUAACUGGAGUUCUGUCUGUCAUCACAUUUGGGAGUUAAAAUAACCACUUUGUCUUGGAUUACAUCAUCAUAAUAUUGAAGAUUACAGAUUGGAUUUCAGUGAACCGCGGCGCUCUCACCAACCAAUUUACUAAACGGAGGUGUCUCCUUGUGUGUGAAAUGUCAUGCAGUGAAGCAUAGUGACAGGCUGUUCAUACUCAAAACAUUUGGCAAGUCAAAGAACGGAAAACUCCAAUGUCUCUUUUUAUGUUCCUUUCAAAAUGUGGGAGAAUUUCUUUCUUAGUAUGUAUGUUUCUCAGAAAUUAACAGAUUUCAUUGAAUAUCGCGACUGACACAUUUCAGAUGAGUAUCAUUUAUGUGCUAUAUCUAAUGCAUAUCCAGGUAAUGAGAUGAUUAUACUCAGAGUGAGAUCUGUCUCUGACUGUAAAAUCUCUCUUAUGUACAAGUGCCAACAUCAUUACUCUCCAUUUGUAAUGCGAUAGACUUUGGUAAUCUACCCGCAGACAGAUAUUAAUUCACCCAAAUCAUGUGACAGAGUAGAAACUGUGGGGUGGAGCUGAGAGACACUGUGAUGCAAAUAGCAGCCUCACAGGAGAUCCAGGUUUCCCCAGAGCUGCUUUUCAGAGAAGACCCAAGUAUUCAACCCCUUUAAAGUGGCUAACCUAAUUCAACAGCUAACUGGUGCUAGAAGUCCCACGAAUAGUGAACUGUAAGUCAUCUGAGUGCGGUGAAUCUGUCUCCAGUGAUUGUCGUAUUAUGUUGAAGGUCUAGUCCUCAAAAACUGAGUGACCAAGAUAGAGACUAGUGAAGGAGGCCACCCGGACACCUAUGACCCUCUGAAAGUGUGGCUUAAACAGCGAAAAUGGGAGAGACUGUUCAUUCAGCAACUGUUGUCUGUUCUUCACCAGUCAAAGCUUUAUGGCAAAGUGGAAACGAGAAAGUCACCGUUGAAAAAAAAAAAGCUUUUGUUAAAUCUCAGGUAGAGUUCACCAGAAGGCAUGCAGAGACUUUGAAGUCUACUGGGAAAAGGUUCUUUGGUCUGAUGACACUAAUAUUAUGAUUUUUAGCCUACAGAUUAGACGCUAUUUUUAGUGGAUAUGAAACACUGCAAACACAACACAACAAUUUCCACAAUGAAGCAUGGUGGUGGCAUCAGUAUAAUGUGGGGGUGUUUCUCAAUAGCAGCCCUGAAAGGCUUAUAAAGGUAGUCUAUCUAUCUAUCUAUCUAUCUAUCUAUCUAUCUAUCUAUCUAUCUAUCUAUCUAUCUAUCUAUCUAUCUAUCUAUCUAUCUAUCUAUCUGUCUAUCUGUCUAUCUAUCUAAUUGAGAUUAAUCUUCAGUACGUAGUGAUAGGACUUACAGUGAUAAACAUUUAAAUAAGCAUAUUUUGUAACAGAAAGAUGUUUUGGUUGUAUACAGCUGGGUAACGUGGAAGGUGAAGGUAAACUGGUAGUUCAUAUUUUUAGUACUGACUGUGACUUGAAAAGAGGGGUGUUAAAACAUCAAGGUCCUCAAAAAACAUGGUGCAAGAAAUGUGGCACUCGCCUCAGAUCAUCCAUGUGGUUAUUUCAGUUCAAUCUUGUGCUUUGACGUGGCCUUUUGGCUCUUUUUGUACAUGGUUACAGUUAUUGUACUGACAGUUACAUGCUAUGCUGAUGACAAUCGCCUUUAUAUAUAAAAUAGCUUCUCCUAGUUUCUAAAUGUAUAGCUGUACUGAUUCAAAGCAAAUGAUGGAUGUUCUUUUAUUUUACUAAUGAUAUGUUAUAAAUAGCUUGUCACUGUUUAAUUUUUGCAAAUAAUCAAUGCAGGAAUUGCAGAAUUGUGUACUCUUCUGCCACUCAACACGUGUACUGCAUGUUUGUCAGGCUACAUUUGUGGCUGCUUCCAUCCUUUCGGCUUGCUUUUGCAGCUUUAAAUCUGCAAGUACAUGUUGUGUUCACGAGUGUGGGGAGUCUCAGCUCCUUUGCUCUAAAUCAACUCUCGGGCUCCAGUUUCACAGCUGUGCCCUGACCAUCCACAGAGACGACUUUCCAAAUUAAUCUUCCUCCAUGUCGCUGCAUGUGUCUCACACACUGUGAAUUCACUCUCACAUGAGUGAACGCACACCUACUUAUUACCAUAACAACCAAUAACAGGACAUAAGCCUGUGCUGAAUGACACACGGAACGGAACCAGGCAUGGAUAGUCUUUUAAUUAGUGAGAGAAUAUUAACAUCCAGUCACUGAUCCCGAUAAAAUAUACAUCCUUCAAAGUUAAGAAUAAAGUGGCACAUGAAUUUUUUUUGGAAAUAUUUUUAACUUUCAUGUCUGAUCAAAGUAUACACUGGAAAAAAUGCUCCUCUCAAAACAAGAAAAAAAACUUUUAUCUUGAAAUUAGUUUUAAAAAAAUCUGCCAAUAGAACAAGUGAAAAAAUUCUUGGUAAGAUUUCCUGAAAUAAAAUAUGAUAUUUAGAAUGUUGAGAUCUUAAAAUUAGCUGGGAAAACUAAUUUUAAGCUCUAUUUUACCAGAAUUGUCAAGCUUAGGUGUCGUAAAAUGAACCAGACAUGCUUAAAGAAUAGUAGUUUUUCACUCAAAAAUAGAUUUUUGCUUUCAUAUAACCUCUUAAUUUGAGAUGUAUUAACCCUCCAGUUGUCUUCAUUUAUGGGCACCAAAAAUAUUGUUUCCUUAUCUGAAAAAAAUCCAAAACAUCAUAAAAAAAAUUCACCAAAAAAAUUUGCAAAACCUUCAGGAAGAAAAUUCCAAUAGUUCUUUAAAGUUUGCCUUGAAAUUUAUUUUAAAGUAAUCCCCCAAAUUUGGCAAGAAAAUUCCUGUAAAUAUUUUUCAGAAAAUGAGUAAAAAUCUUCCAAAAAAAUCUUAAAAAUAUCUGAAAUGAAUCCAUAUAUAUCAGUAACACUUCUAUUUUCUUUAAGAACAUUCACACAAAAAUCAACCAAAAUCCAGCAAAUUUCACUGGAUUUUGGUUGAUUUUUAUGUGAAUGUUCUUCAAUUUUUUUUAACAUUUCUUUUUUUCCAUCAAAAAAUGUUCAAAAAUUUCCCAAAAAUGUGGACAUCAGAAAAUAUAUAUGUGAAAAUAUAAAUUUUUUCCACAUUUUCAGACUUUUGACCUGCAUAAUGACACCAGGGUUAAACUUAUUUUGAAUUUUCUUGUAAAAUUCAACUCAAAACAAGAUAAUUUCAUGAUUGUUUGACUUAACGAGAUAUUUAAGAUGCGUUGUCUUAAUAUAAGUCCCUCCAUUUUGCUGAAAUGCCACUUGUUAAGGGAAUUUAUCUUUAAUCAAGUGGGAUGAGACAUUUUGACCAAAAAUAAGACAAAUAGACUUGAUAAGAUUUUGAGUUUUUGCAGUGCAGAAGGUAUAAAUACUCAACAUAAACAGUCCAAAAGGGUGUUUCAACUCUAUAUUACACAUAAAAGUACAAUUUUGCCCUUAGCUGCACCCCUAAACGCAAACCCCCAGUCAAUAAAACUCAAAGGUCACGCUGACUGACGUGUGAUAUGUGCUGUGUGCGUCUUCUGCCCAUUCAGACCACUUAGUUCUGUAGCUCGAAUGCCACCGUGGCUCAGAGCCAGUAUCCCAGUUUAGACUGUCACCCUAUCUCCCAGCGCUACCCCCUCCCCCACACACCCAUAUCACCCCCCACCGCUGAGCCAAACAGCCCCAGAACCCUGCAGCUGCCCCGGGGAACCAGGCACCAAGGACAGUUAUGUAAACCAGCAACACUGUGUGAAUCAUUUAUAAUGAUUUUAAUCUGAGUCUCAUGAGCCGAAUGUGCCAAAGAGAAAAUCAGUUCAAUACUUGGGGAGCAGGUUAAUGCAUACUAAAUGACACGUUAUUGGCAUUUGUUUUCUGGUGUUUGUGUGAGAAUAUGUUGUUAGGAGGUGUGUUUAGUUGCUUCACAGGCUCUUGGUGCAGUUUGCAUGUGUGUGUCCUUACUUGCUCAGUUCAUUACAAUCCAAUGAAACAACCCUGCAGUGAUGACGUCUCUGAAGCUGAUUUUGUUGCAUUUUUAUUGCAUUAACAUGUGAUCUGAUUCUGCCUCUCCUUUAACCCUCCUGUUGUCCUCAUUUACAGGCACCAAAAAAUAUUGUUUCCUUGUCUGAAAAAAAAUCCAAAAAUUCAGAAAAAAAUUCCCCAAAUUUCUGAAAAUUUGCAAAACCAUUCGGAAGAAAAUUCCACUAAUUCCUUAAAAGUUUACCUUGACAGUUUAAUUAAAAAAAAAAAUCCCCCAACAACGAGGGUUAAAGGCAUUAUGGAGGAUAUUUUUGUUGUUUAAUUUGUCUGAUUCACAUAAAAUGAAUAUACUGACCUUUAGUGGAGUUGUAUGUAUGAUUUCUAAAAGAAUAAAAAAAUAAAUAAAAUAACUGUGGACAUGG
This is a long non-coding RNA of Acanthochromis polyacanthus (spiny chromis), 6144 nucleotides long. RefSeq lists it as uncharacterized. The transcript is spliced from 2 exons. The record is from RefSeq and is a predicted model, not a curated record. Lineage: Eukaryota; Metazoa; Chordata; Actinopteri; Pomacentridae.